This is a long non-coding RNA of Rhododendron vialii, 1222 nucleotides long. RefSeq lists it as uncharacterized. The record is from RefSeq and is a predicted model, not a curated record. NCBI's taxonomy places the organism in Eukaryota, Viridiplantae, Streptophyta, Magnoliopsida, Ericales, Ericaceae. The transcript has 2 exons.
GCAACAAAGUUGAUAAUUGAAAAUAUAGUUUUGUUCAUUGUUUACUUGGAUGCUGCUAUGGUAAUGCCAAAAUUUUGUUGCUUUUGUACAUUGGCCUAGCAAUGCACUCAUCCACCCGCAACCCCUCCCCUCCCAUGGAUAAACAAUGGGUUAAUAUACUGGUGGUAUCAUCAGAGUAAUGGUCUAUGGUUGAGAGGCCUAUAGAUAAGAUUACGAUAUGUAUGAGACAAGAAAAUCAAGGAUUGAAAAUGUAUGGGAAACACUGAUUCCGUAUACAGUUCCUAUGUUAAUAAGUUUUAGCCAGUACAAUGCCAUCCUUUUUUGGAUUUUCAUAUUCCUAUUUCUCUAUUUUGUUCUAGUAUAAUUGCCUGGUCGAUGAUUGUGAAUAUCACUUCUAUCUGCUACGCUUUGGUGUAACAGCAGCUACACGAGCUCUUCUGUUUUACUGUUCCUGACAAUUAGUAGUAGCAUAGUCUAAAAUGGUCAGCAGUGUUUAUAGACAAAGAUACUUGUUAUAAAAAAUGGAGGUUGUGAAUGUUCAAGCUAGACAGAUUGUGAAUGGAUGGACUCUCUUCAAUAGUGCGGAUUUCUUGGUUCCUACAUGCAUAUGUUGUUAUUGGAGGAAUCUAAUGCUUUUGACUCAGCGAUUAGAAGCAAACCCUAAAGGCAGCAGGGAAAUAGUGGUCCAGAAGUCUAACUCAUUUUUUACGAUCUAAGUGUUGAGCAAAGCAACAAUUCUGAAACGUAGCUCAAAGAAAACUCAUGGUAGUGACAACCCUGUUUCAGCUUCUGCAACUGAUGCCCAAAUAAUGAAGCUAGGCAAGUAAUGAACAAACUUGAGUCAACUCAAGAAUCAAGGAGGCUUGCUGGGUUGCUCGAAGGCGUCAGCCAAACAUUUUUUUUACAAUUUGGUAUCCAGCCCAAUAUCUCGGUGAUCAACAGAUCUGAAAUGUGAAGUCGGACCGCCACAAGCAUCCUGGACCGCUAAUCCAGGGAAACCAAUUACAUCAUCCCAUGGCGGGGGCCCCUCCGUUAAUCCUGGCUAACAAGAUUGUUCCAAUAGAAAUUGGAAGUCCGAUAACCAUUUGUACGAUUUGCUCCUAUGUGUGUUGCUUUGUUUGCAUAUUUUGACAAUCUGUGACUUGCAUUUGGAAUCCAUUGUUGUUACCCUAGAUAAUUUUUGAAGUUAUAUGGGAGGUCUCCUUUCGGCUGCUCCGGCAAA